UUCAGUUAACAUCAGAGACAUAACUGAGAUUAGUGCAUGGUUAACAAGAAUAAAUAGCUGUCAGGAAACUGCCAGAUGGUGAAGCUUUCCUUUCGCCUCCCUCCUCCAUCUCCACCUUGCCCACCACCACCCACUUCAGUCUGUCAUUUCUGAGAGUAUGACAAAAACAACAGGUUACCCCAGUUGAACCUCGUGCUUACAAUACUCUCCAUCUCACUUCUACUUCUUGAAAUCAGAGCUCAGCUUAAGUGACAUCAGAAAUGAUGACCAAUAGACUGGGGGUCAGUGUGAGCCUCAACUUCAGGAUCCAUAUUCCUGAACUGACUCUUGGUCUUCAGAGAUGACAUUAAGGAAAAGGAGAGAGCAAGUGAGUGAGAAGAGCUGUUUUUGAAACAAUCAUAUGAACUGUUCCUCUUUGAAGAUAACCCAAGGAAAUGGGAAACUGAGCUUUCGAAGCUUGGUGGGUCUGCAAGAGGAAUGUAUUUUGCAAGGCAAUGGCUCCUGUUCCAAGUUCUGACUGAUCAGCAAAAUGAACAAGGAAGUGGGGAGAGGAGCUGGAAAAGAAUAAGGACACUUCUGCCAUUUUCAUCUCUUUCACCAAAGAUCAUGAUGAUUUUCUUUCCAUAUGUUGAAGGUCAAGAUGAAAGAAAGAACACUCAGCUGUGUUUAACAGAUUAAAUCAAC
Molecule: long non-coding RNA, 684 nt
Organism: Sarcophilus harrisii (Tasmanian devil)
Lineage: Eukaryota; Metazoa; Chordata; Mammalia; Dasyuromorphia; Dasyuridae
Source: Ensembl